GUGAUAUUUAACAUGUCUUGGACUUAAAAUAGGAAUUGUUUACUUUUUUUCUUUUUGUUUCCCACUCGGUGUCCAGUAUCAACAUUGGGGCGCGAGUAAAUAUGAAUUCACGCCAAGAAGUCUCACAUUGAAGGGUAAGCCGCUCCCUAACAGAAGUGACUUCAUAUUUGAUUGUUUUACUUAAGAUGAACAACAUCCACCUUUCUUUGUAUCUGCAACUGUAUCUUCAUUUCCUUCAUCAGCCUGCAAAACCACAGACUUACCAUUUGCUAGCCGCCCCGAGUCCUUUUUCUGGAGCUCUUGAGAUUGAAUGACUUUUCUGCUCAGAAUAUUAUAGAUCUCCCUAACAACUGUCUGGAAAGCAGACGUUACAUUCGAUGAAUCCAAAGCUGAAGUUUCGAUGAAAAAUAGACCUUUCGCCUCAGCCAAGGCUUUGCCUUCCGCUGUUGUAACUUCCCUGGCGUCUUUGAGAUCAGACUUGUUGCCAACGAGUAUUAUAACCACAUUCAUGUCCGAAUGAGCUGUUAAAGGAGUAAGAUAUAAGUCAAAAACGAUGCUAUCAAGUAAGUAAAAAGAUCCUGAAAAUUGAAGCUGUCAUGUAUGUUGCUUUAUUUUAUGAG
Molecule: unclassified non-coding RNA, 620 nt
Filed under: Hevea brasiliensis (rubber tree)
Lineage: Eukaryota; Viridiplantae; Streptophyta; Magnoliopsida; Malpighiales; Euphorbiaceae
Source: RNAcentral